Picea glauca (white spruce) is the source of this 122-nucleotide non-coding RNA. The record is from Rfam. NCBI's taxonomy places the organism in Eukaryota, Viridiplantae, Streptophyta, Pinopsida, Pinales, Pinaceae.
GCAUUCCUACAACAUUGCGUGAAUGCACCGGAUCCCAUUAGAACUUCGUAGUUAAGCACGGUCAAGCUAGAGUAGUCAGUCACCCAUCCCAAUACUACUCUAGCCUGAGUGUGUGGAGUUCU